RNAcentral lists this ribosomal RNA (543 nucleotides) under uncultured bacterium. Its description in RNAcentral is "bacterial SSU rRNA". It matches the Rfam family "Bacterial small subunit ribosomal RNA", at positions 775 to 1319 of the family's 1533-position model. The record is from RNAcentral.
AGUAAAUAGAUACCCGGGUAGUCCACGCCGUAAACGAUGAAUACUAGGUGUGGGGGUUGUCAUGACCUCCGUGCCGCCGCUAAACGCAUUAAGUAUUCCGCCUGGGGAGUACGGUCGCAAGAUUAAAACUCAAAGGAAUUGACGGGGGCCCGCACAAGCAGCGGAGCAUGUGGUUUAAUUCGAAGCAACGCGAAGAACCUUACCUAGACUUGACAUCUCCUGAAUUACUCUGUAAUGGAGGAAGCCCUUCGGGGCAGGAAGACAGGUGGUGCAUGGUUGUCGUCAGCUCGUGUCGUGAGAUGUUGGGUUAAGUCCCGCAACGAGCGCAACCCUUAUUGUUAGUUGCUACCAUUUAGUUGAGCACUCUAGCGAGACUGCCCGGGUUAACCGGGAGGAAGGUGGGGAUGACGUCAAAUCAUCAUGCCCCUUAUGUCUAGGGCUACACACGUGCUACAAUGGCUGGUACAGAGAGAUGCAAUACCGCGAGUGGAGCCAAACUUCAAAACCAGUCUCAGUUCGGAUUGUAGGCUGAAACUCGCCUAC